Molecule: ribosomal RNA, 274 nt
Filed under: uncultured bacterium
Lineage: Bacteria
Description: partial 16S ribosomal RNA
Rfam family: Bacterial small subunit ribosomal RNA
Source: RNAcentral
AUACGGAGGGUGCAAGCGUUAUUCGGAAUCACUGGGCGUAAAGGACGCGUAGGCGGGUUGGCAAGUCAGAUGUGAAAUCCUACAGCUUAACUGUAGAACUGCAUUUGAAACUGCUAACCUAGAGUAUGGGAGGGGGAGAUGGAAUUAGUGGUGUAGGGGUAAAAUCCGUAGAUAUCACUCGGAAUACCGAAAGCGAAGGCGAUCUCCUGGAACAUAACUGACGCUAAGGCGUGAAAGCGUGGGGAGCAAACAGGAUUAGAAACCCUUGUAGUCC